Molecule: long non-coding RNA, 1892 nt
Organism: Cygnus olor (mute swan)
Lineage: Eukaryota; Metazoa; Chordata; Aves; Anseriformes; Anatidae
Exons: 4
Source: RefSeq, a predicted model, not a curated record
UUCAAUGAGCGAUAUCCUGUCACAUCCUGGGAAGCAGAGGCUCACUACACAUAGGGUUUGUUGGGGAAGACAAACUUUUUGAUAAUGAGCCUCCAUCCCCUUCCCCAGCUGUUAUUGCUGAGUGUGACACCACACAGUAUGGGAUAUCCCAUUGGUCAGUUUUGGUCAUCUGCCCCUGUGAUGUCUCCUCCCCACCCCUGCCCAUCCCCUGCUGGUUUUGGAGAUUUGGAGGGAGUCAUGGUGCUGUGGGGCACAGCUCAGUGAUAGACAAAACACUGGUGCAAUAUCAGGGCUGUUUGAGCUGCAAGUGCAGAGCACUGCACUGCUGUAAUGGGGUGUCGUGGGGGAAGUUAACUCCAUCCCAGCCAGACCCAGCAAAGGCAUCUAUCAGGAACUCUGUGUUUACAUGUUAGAUUAGCACUGGCUCUCCUUGCCUUUAAUUGUGAGAUUCUGGUAAUUCGGUUCCACAGCCAAACUUCUCAUUAAUCAGUUCACAGUUACACAAACCAGUCAUAAUGAAACCACUGCUGUAUUAAUAUCUAACACUGGAAGGCAGCCUGAGAUCAGUGUUCUUCUUUGUGGCUUGGGACAGUUUCAGGAAGGGGAUGGGGAUAAUGAGCACUGUGGGGUUCUGCCUUUCUUGGGAAGUAAGGCGUUGACAGCGCCCCUCCGGAGCUAGCUGAAUCUCUUGUGUGAGUGGGUGCCCAGACCAGCUGCACUGAUACCCCAGUGAUUUCCCGAGCAUCUUCCAAAGGCUUGUUGCAAAAGCAGAAAUGGUGUAUGAAAUGGUAGAAGGUACUUGUUAAAGGCCUGUGGCAGCAGUUUGGAAAACAGAACUGAAUAUGAGAAGUUCUGGAGAGCGAAGGCAACAUUCAUCUCCAAAGCAUUAAGGAGGUUUGUUUCAUCUUUCCUCUUGUGGUCCUGCCUCUGUUUUCGUCAGUCACCAUGUGAAGGUCAGCCAGGGGUACGUGUCAGGACAAGCUAUGCAGUGCUGGGAAGCGGACUGGGGUUGUGUCCCCAUGGUGCAUCCCAGUAACUGCUGCUCCCUGGUGUGUUGCCACGGGGCUGCUGUGUCACAGUGGCGAGGGCUGUGAAGCCAUGAGGCACCGGCCGUGCCGCACACUCCUGUGACAACCACAGAGGCGGCAGGAGGCAGGAGGGACAGCUCUGUGGCGGCAGGUUGCGAGUGGCAGAAGCGCUUCCAGGCCUCACACACUCCUCGAGGAGCACGUGGUGGGGAGCGGCCCAGUGGCCAUGCUGCGCAGGAAAGAUAUUUCAGGCCAUCCAAUUCAUCCGUAAGGGGCUGGUGCAAACCUAUGAAAACAUUGAACCCUUCAGACCACAUGAUGAAAGCCAGGCAGCAUGAUCCAAGGAAUCUCAGAGACUAGUAUUUUUUUGAAGUUUAUUCAGCAGCUGUAUGGUACUGAAACUACAGUAUUGAAAUGCCAUGCAAUUUGAAUAAUGGCAAUUGUGGGAUGUUUCUCAAGACUGAAAAAAAGAUUAUUUCCAUGUCUCUGUCCUCAGGAAGAAAGAUGUGGGUAACUAUAGUCGGAUUUUCCUGAACCAAAAAGAUCAUGGAGCAAAUCUGAAUAGAAUCUACAUGCUGGAUCACUAAAGACAAUGAGGAUAAUCAGAAACGGGAAGAGGAUGCCAAAAGAGGAACCUUCACAGAUGCCACUAUUUAAUGACCCUCAACAGGCUAAUCUAACUUUGGACUUGGGCCUGCUUUGAACAGAGGAUGUUGAAUCAGACUCUAGUAGUUCUCUUCCAAAUAAAAUUAUAUUCUGGGAUUGUUAACAGCCAAGGUAAAAAUAAGUAGAAAGCCUUCUUCUGUGCUUGUUCAGCUACACCUGUCUAAAACAAAAUAGAGCAAACACUAUGAAAUAAACAGA